GUGCUCGCUUCAGCAGCACAUAUACUAAAAUUGGAAUGAUACAGAGAUUAGCAUGGCCCCUGCACAAGGAUGACAUGCAAAUCUGUGAAGCGUUCCAUACUUUU
RNAcentral lists this small nuclear RNA (104 nucleotides) under Nannospalax galili (Upper Galilee mountains blind mole rat). Lineage: Eukaryota; Metazoa; Chordata; Mammalia; Rodentia; Spalacidae. The record is from RNAcentral.